RNAcentral lists this ribosomal RNA (492 nucleotides) under uncultured bacterium. RNAcentral describes it as "partial 16S ribosomal RNA". It matches the Rfam family "Bacterial small subunit ribosomal RNA", at positions 29 to 507 of the family's 1533-position model. The record is from RNAcentral.
AGUGAACGCUGGCGGUAGGCCUAACACAUGCAAGUCGAACGGCAGCACAGUAAGAGCUUGCUCUUACGGGUGGCGAGUGGCGGACGGGUGAGGAAUACAUCGGAAUCUACUUUUUCGUGGGGGAUAACGUAGGGAAACUUACGCUAAUACCGCAUACGACCUACGGGUGAAAGCAGGGGAUCUUCGGACCUUGCGCGAUUGAAUGAGCCGAUGUCGGAUUAGCUAGUUGGCGGGGUAAAGGCCCACCAAGGCGACGAUCCGUAGCUGGUCUGAGAGGAUGAUCAGCCACACUGGAACUGAGACACGGUCCAGACUCCUACGGGAGGCAGCAGUGGGGAAUAUUGGACAAUGGGCGCAAGCCUGAUCCAGCCAUACCGCGUGGGUGAAGAAGGCCUUCGGGUUGUAAAGCCCUUUUGUCGGGAAAGAAAAUCAGCAGGUUAAUACCCCGCUGUUCUGACGGUACCCAAAGAAUAAGCACCGGCUAACUUCGUG